RNAcentral lists this transfer RNA (83 nucleotides) under Acidimicrobiaceae bacterium. RNAcentral's name for it is "tRNA-Leu(tag)". It matches the Rfam family "tRNA". Rfam says of the family: Transfer RNA (tRNA) molecules are approximately 80 nucleotides in length. Their secondary structure includes four short double-helical elements and three loops (D, anti-codon, and T loops). Lineage: Bacteria; Bacillati; Actinomycetota; Acidimicrobiia; Acidimicrobiales; Acidimicrobiaceae. The record is from RNAcentral.
GCGGACGUGGCGGAAUUGGCAGACGCACCAGCCUUAGGAGCUGGCGCCGCAAGGCGUGGGGGUUCGAGUCCCCCCGUCCGCAC